This 440-nucleotide ribosomal RNA is filed under the name uncultured bacterium. RNAcentral describes it as "partial 16S ribosomal RNA". It matches the Rfam family "Bacterial small subunit ribosomal RNA", at positions 338 to 795 of the family's 1533-position model. The record is from RNAcentral.
CCUACGGGUGGCAGCAGUGGGGAAUAUUGCACAAUGGGGGAAACCCUGAUGCAGCGACGCCGCGUGAGUGAAGAAGUAUUUCGGUAUGUAAAGCUCUAUCAGCAGGGAAGAAGAAAGACGGUACCUGACUAAGAAGCCCCGGCUAACUACGUGCCAGCAGCCGCGGUAAUACGUAGGGGGCAAGCGUUACCCGGAUUUAAGGGGUGAAAAGGGAGCGUAGACGGGUGUGAAAGUCUAAGGUGAAACCCCAGGGCUAAACCCGGGACUGAUUUGGAAACUGUGGAGCGAGAGUGUUGGAGAGGUAAGUGGAAUUCCUAGUGUAGCGGUGAAAUGCGUAGAUAUUAGGAGGAACACCAGUGGCGAAGGCGGCUUACUGGACAGUAACUGACGUUGAGGCUCGAAAGCGUGGGGAGCAAACAGGAUUAGAUACCCGGGUAGUC